Molecule: ribosomal RNA, 522 nt
Filed under: Triticum aestivum (bread wheat)
Lineage: Eukaryota; Viridiplantae; Streptophyta; Magnoliopsida; Poales; Poaceae
Description: partial small subunit ribosomal RNA
Source: RNAcentral
AUGACUCAUGGCCCGAGCGCUCAUAGCAAGAAACCCCCAUUGAUGAUGAGACACCCAGAACUCCACCACCUCAAGUCACCACUCCGGUACUUGACGAUGAAACCUACAUGGUGCAGACCACUCCAUCACCGAAGGCGUCGCCCGCAUAUCGCAGGCUUCGCAAAGGCCACAGGUCACCAUGUCGAGCAUUCCAAAAGGGGAAGUGCAACAAAGCUCAGUAGCAGUCAAGUGUUUCCUGAAGCCACCCCUACUGCGAAUGUCUCUGAGUCUGAAGCUAAAGCUGCUGAAGACAUUCCGGCUGCAUCAGCCGGUGAAAAUCAAGGAGAAAGAGAAGAAGAAAGAGUUGCCACACCCCCUACCACAGACCAAGUCAUUCUCGAGGAGAAUGUGAUUGUGCCAGACCCUCCUGUUCUGCAACGAACGGAGGUUGAAAACAUUGAGGCUGCCACAAACAAUGCUACUGACGCCAAUGACGUUGUCAUGGCCUGCUACCUCCUGAGCACUGCGUUGGUUUUCCCUUGA